Molecule: long non-coding RNA, 580 nt
Organism: Scylla paramamosain (green mud crab)
Lineage: Eukaryota; Metazoa; Arthropoda; Malacostraca; Decapoda; Portunidae
Exons: 3
Source: RefSeq, a predicted model, not a curated record
AGUAGGGCAUUCUGGGAAUCUCUGUGAUAUCGCUUCCUUAACAGCUACGUGGAAUCUCGUGGCGUCUCUACAUUCCUCUCAGCCAUAGCCAGCCUUUGCCAGCUUCUACUGCCCUUGUCCAUCACAGCGAGUUUGAGACUAACAUGGAGGAGGGAAGCAUAAACCAAGCCAGCCUUCCUUACCUGCUAGUGCCUCCAGACCUUUAUCAGUGACUGGAGUCUCACACAAGUUGAGGACCUGCAGUUUGUGGAGGUGUUCGGAUAUCAGCUGGAGGCCAACGUCACCAAACUGUGGAGGACAGGAGAAUCAACAUGGCAACAUUUCAGAUCAUCUUACAAGAAUAUGCGUACAAGAAAACACAGGAAGCUGCAAGAAGCCAUCAGGCCUACACGCUGCAGCUUGUGUUUACACCAACUACAACCUUCAUUGGAGCUUUGCAAGAUUCACAAGUCAGCCACACCUCACCUCACCUCAUGUCACCUGCCCAAGACUGACCGGCAGAGACAAGACCCUGAGGAGCCCAUACCUGUGUGGCCCAGAGGUUGAGGUAGCGAAGGGUGGGCAGCUUGAUGAGUUGUUC